Molecule: long non-coding RNA, 685 nt
Organism: Gallus gallus (chicken)
Lineage: Eukaryota; Metazoa; Chordata; Aves; Galliformes; Phasianidae
Source: Ensembl
AUUUUGUUCUGUGGUGGUAGCUUAAGUACAACAUCGUACCUCCCAGAAAUGAUGACGACCCUGCUUUUUCCUCCAUACAGUAGCAUUACUUUAGUCAGUGGUGGCCUCAUUUGGCCAGAGGCAUUUGGUGCAGAGACCCAGGGGCUGAGUAGCAGUUGAGCCAGGGUAGGCAGCAGGUGAGGCAGGAAACUGGUAAUCUGGAGGUGCCAGAGAUUUUUCCUCUGUAGUAAAAAGGUACAGAGGAGGGAGCUGUAGGAAGAGCUCCCCUUCUCCAGAGCUGAAGUUCGGCAGCUGCAGCCCCAUGUGAUCGGACAUCAAAGAUGUGACAGGGGAAAAGAAAAAAAGAAAAAAAAAAGGAAAAAAGAAAAAAAAAAGGAAAAAAAAACCUUUUAUUGCUUACUUUCCAACAAGGAAAAACUUCAAGGAACAGACACGAGUUUCUCCCCUUUGCCACCAGAUGUCCCUCCUGAGCAGGGAAAUCUGCUGGUCUGAAAGCUGCCCAGGCGCUGGAUCCACAACGUUUCUGAAGACGAGAGAGGGAAAGGAAAGUUUGAGUGAAAGCAACAGUUAGUGCAGGGUUUUGGAUGGAUGAAGUGCUGAGAUGUCUCCUUGGCAAGAGAAACAUUUUGCCGGUAGCACUGUAACGUAUGUUUAAUUAACUCCUAAAAUGUGUCAUAACUUGCAG